Molecule: ribosomal RNA, 482 nt
Filed under: uncultured bacterium
Lineage: Bacteria
Description: partial 16S ribosomal RNA
Rfam family: Bacterial small subunit ribosomal RNA
Source: RNAcentral
GACGAACGCUGGCGGCGUGCUUAACACAUGCAAGUCGAACGAUGAAACCUAGCUUGCUAGGUCGAUUAGUGGCGAACGGGUGAGUAACACGUGACUAACCUGCCCCUUUCUCUGGGAUAACGCUCCGAAAGGAGUGCUAAUACCGGAUACUCACAUCGAGGCACAUGCCUUGAUGUGGAAAGUUUUUCGGAAAGGGAUGGAGUCGCGGCCUAUCAGCUUGUUGGUGAGGUAACGGCUCACCAAGGCGGCGACGGGUAGCCGGCCUGAGAGGGCGACCGGCCACACUGGGACUGAGACACGGCCCAGACUCCUACGGGAGGCAGCAGUGGGGAAUAUUGCACAAUGAGCGCAAGCCUGAUGCAGCGACGCCGCGUGAGGGAUGAAGGUCUUCGGAUUGUAAACCUCUUUCAGUAGGGACGAAGCGAAAGUGACGGUACCUAAAGAAGAAGCACCGGCUAACUACGUGCCAGCCGCCGCCGUAA